AAGAUACUAGUAAAACAUAUUACACUGCCUUGUCAGGGCGGAAUUGUGGGUUAAACUCCCACGUAUCUUA
RNAcentral lists this transfer RNA (70 nucleotides) under Mustelus mosis (Arabian smooth-hound). RNAcentral's name for it is "tRNA-Asp". It matches the Rfam family "tRNA". From Rfam's summary of the family: Transfer RNA (tRNA) molecules are approximately 80 nucleotides in length. Their secondary structure includes four short double-helical elements and three loops (D, anti-codon, and T loops). Lineage: Eukaryota; Metazoa; Chordata; Chondrichthyes; Carcharhiniformes; Triakidae. The record is from RNAcentral.